This 75-nucleotide transfer RNA is filed under the name Clostridia bacterium. Its description in RNAcentral is "tRNA-Asp". It matches the Rfam family "tRNA". From Rfam's summary of the family: Transfer RNA (tRNA) molecules are approximately 80 nucleotides in length. The record is from RNAcentral. Lineage: Bacteria; Bacillati; Bacillota; Clostridia.
GGUCCAGUAGCUCAGUUGGUUAGAGCGCCAGCCUGUCACGCUGGAGGCCGUGGGUUCGAGCCCCUUCUGGAUCGC